RNAcentral lists this microRNA precursor (116 nucleotides) under Hordeum vulgare. RNAcentral's name for it is "microRNA MIR1122". It matches the Rfam family "MIR1120/MIR1122 microRNA precursor family". Lineage: Eukaryota; Viridiplantae; Streptophyta; Magnoliopsida; Poales; Poaceae. The record is from RNAcentral.
AAUGUACUUCCUCCGUCCCAAAAUAAAUGUCUCAAAAGUGACACAACUUUGUAUUAAAACUAGUGUAAAUUUAAGUCAUAUUUAAGUCAUUUAUUUUGGGACGGAGGGAGUACUUG